UCAAGUUACUAAGGGUGUAUGGGGGAUGUCUUGGCGUCGAGAGGCGAUGAAGGACGUGGCUGACUGCGAUAAGCCUGGGGCAGGUGUCUAGCAACCGAUAAUCCCAGGAUCUCCGAAUGAGGCAACUCACCGUCACUGGGCAACCAGAUGGCGGUACCUGCGGCUGAAUGCAUAGGCCGUAUGGAGCGAACGCAGGGAACUGAAACAUCUCAGUACCUGCAGGAAAAGAAAUCAACCGAGACUCCGUAAGUAGCGGCGAGCGAAAGCGGAUCAGCCCAAACCAGGGGGCUUGCUCCCUGGGGUUGCGGGCGUUGACAUCCCAGUACGACGGUUAGUGGAAUGAUCUGGAAAGUUCGACCACAGAAGGUGAUAGUCCUGUACGCGAAAACCGAAGUACUGCGUUGACGUUCCAGAGUAGCACGGAGCUCGUGAAACUCUGUGUGAAGCUGGGGGGACCAUCCUCCAAGGCUAAGUACUACUCGACGACCGAUAGUGGAAAGUAGCGCGAGCGAACGAUGAAAAGAACCCCUAUUAGGGGAGUUAAAAGGACCUGAAACCAUACACCUACAAGCGGUCGGAGCCCUAUGAUCCGUCUUCGGACGGAUAAUGGGUGACGGCGUGCCUUUUGCAUAAUGAACCGGCGAGUUGUUGUCUGUGGCAAGGUUAAGCACUUUAGGUGCGGAGCCGUAGCGAAAGCGAGUCUGAAUAGGGCGAAUUAGUCGCAGGUAACACGACGCGAAGCCAAGUGAUCUACCCAUGGCCAGGUUGAAAGGGAUGUAAAAAUCCCUGGAGGACCGAACUCACUAACGUUGAAAAGUUAGGGGAUGAGCUGUGGGGAGGAGUGAAAGUCUAAUCAAACUUGGAGAUAUCUCGUUCUCUCCGAAAUAGCUUUUGGGCUAGCCUCGAGGAACUGCUUUACGGGGGUAGAGCUACUGAAUGGGGAUAGGGGGCCACCAGCCUACCUACCUCAACCAAACUCCGAAUACCGUAAAGUUUAUCUCGGGAGUAAGACUGCGAGCGAUAACGUCCGUGGUCUAAAGGGAAACAACCCGGAUCGCCAGCUAAGGUCCCGAAGUUCUGCUAAGUUCUUAAGGAAGUUGAAUUGCUGUGACAGCCAGGAUGUUGGCUUAGAAGCAGCCACCAUUUAAAAAGUGCGUAAUAGCUUACUGGUCGAGCAGUUCGGCGCCGAUAAUGACCGGGAAUAAGCAGAACACCGAAGCUGCGGGUUUGCAGGCUGCUGCGGCGGCUUGCAAGCGGUAGGAGAGCGUUGCUAUCAGCGUAGAAGCCAUACAGUAAUGAGUGGUGGAGCGGUAGCAAGUGAUUAUGCCGGCAUGAGUAACGAUAAAACAGGUGAGAAUCCUGUUCGCCGUAAGCCUAAGGUUUCCUGGGGAAGGUAAAUCCGCCCAGGGUUAGUCGGGUCCUUAGUCGAGGCCGAAAGGCGUAGACGAUGGGCAGCAGGUUAAUAUUCCUGCACCAUGUUGCUGGACGAAGUCAGUGACGCAUCUUCAAGGGUCAUCCCACGACUAGUAGGGUGGGUCCCGCAAGGGCGAGGCCAAUUUACGAUGCCGAAGUGGCUGGAGAAGAUGCCGAGAAAUAGCUGGCGUAGGUUGAAAGCAGCAUGUCCGUACCGCAAACUGACACAGGUAGGCGAGGAGAGUAUCCUCAGGCGCUCGAGAGAACCGUCCUUAAGGAACUAGGCAAUUUUCCCCCGUACGUUCGCAAUAAGGGGUCCCUCCGCGUGUACUUGAUUUAUCAGGUGCAUGGCGAGGGCGCAGAGAAAUGGCUCUGGCGACUGUUUAUCAAAAACACAGUUCUGUGCUAACUCCGAAAGAGGAUGUAUACAGAAUGACGCCUGCUCGGUGCCGGAAGGUUAAGGGGAGGGGUUAGCCGCAAGGCGAAGCUCUAAACUGAAGCCCCGGUAAACGGCGGCCGUAACUAUGACGGUCCUAAGGUAGCGAAGUUCCUUGUCGGGUAA
RNAcentral lists this ribosomal RNA (1975 nucleotides) under anaerobic digester metagenome. Its description in RNAcentral is "bacterial LSU rRNA". It matches the Rfam family "Bacterial large subunit ribosomal RNA", at positions 3 to 1979 of the family's 2925-position model. The record is from RNAcentral.